RNAcentral lists this long non-coding RNA (1130 nucleotides) under Ananas comosus (pineapple). RNAcentral describes it as "long non-coding RNA (ACOM_LNC035697)". The record is from RNAcentral. Lineage: Eukaryota; Viridiplantae; Streptophyta; Magnoliopsida; Poales; Bromeliaceae.
UUCCAACGCAUUCAGUGACCUAUCAAUUAGGUUUACAGAGGGUCAAUUGAGAUCAAACCCUCAUAUUUCCAAAAAUUGCAUUUUGAACCCUAGGUUUCAUCUAUUGCAAGAAUUAACUAAAUUGAUCCUAGAUUCUAGCAUUUAUCCUCUAUUUAGCAUGCUAAGAUUCCAAAUAAACCAUUUCUAUGGAUUAUAAAUGAAGCUUUAAAGAUCUACCAUGAGAGGGUUCAAAAAGCUCAUUUCAAGCCCUAGGUUUACAACUAGGUAAGAAAUCAUUAAAUUAUCCAUAAUUUAAGCAACAAUCAUUUCUUUAGCAUGCUAGAAUAGCUCUAAAUCCAUUCUUGAAGCUUAAAACCCAAACUACAAAGAGAUACCAUUAAAGGGUUUUGGAGCUUACCUUCAAAGCUUGCUCUCCAAUGGCUAAUGAGGAAGAUGAAGAAGAUGACUUUCCUCGAAGCUUCCUUCUCCACCAAAACCCUCUUUUUGGGAGAGAUUUAGAGAGAGAAAGGGAGAGUUCUCUUCCUCCUCCUCCUUGCGUGUGUGUGGCGUGUGUGUGUGCACAUUCGGCUGAGGAGGAGAAGAAGAAAAGGGAUUAAAUCCCUUUUUACAAAUCAGCCCCUCAACUAUUACACUAUUCACCUCGGGCAGCAGUUUAGCAGUUCGGAGUCGUUGGAGCCCUUCUGAACGUCCAUUUGCACUCAAAUUUAACAGCAGGCUCGGUUUAACGUACUAAGUAAGAAUAUAUCAUAAGUUUUCAGUUUCGACCCCGCUUGGUCACCGAAAGCUGUACCGAACUGUAAUCUUUAUCAGAUGACUGUCGGAUUUUAUUUCUCACUCUACGGGUGUCAGAAUGGUAUGAAACUUUAAAUCUAACCUCAUAAAAAUAUUUCUGACAUAUCCUCCAGUUUUCAUAAUUUUCUGACACUGUGCAUUUUCUACUAAUUUAUCUGUCCCGUUUCUUACAGAAAAUUCUAAAUCUUCUGUUUUCGCUCCGAUUCCAGCACAGUUCGUCUCCAAUCUAUAUCCUACUUCUCUAAACCCAAUAAAAUAGUAUCUCAUACUAUUUUUGUAAGAAAGUGAAUCCUCGAAAUCCGAGGAUUAGACUUCCUUUGGAAUCGACUGAUCGUCGA